RNAcentral lists this ribosomal RNA (250 nucleotides) under uncultured prokaryote. RNAcentral describes it as "partial 16S rRNA". It matches the Rfam family "Bacterial small subunit ribosomal RNA", at positions 525 to 775 of the family's 1533-position model. The record is from RNAcentral.
ACGUAGGGGGCGAGCGUUAUCCGGAUUUAUUGGGCGUAAAGCGUGUGUAGGUGGUUUAUUAAGUAUAAAAUUAAAGCCCGAGGCUUAACCUCGGUUCGUUUUAUAAACUGGUAGACUUGAGUAUGGUAGAGGCAAAUGGAAUUUCUAGUGUAGCGGUAGAAUGCGUAGAUAUUAGAAGGAACACCAGUGGCGAAAGCGAUUUGCUGGGCCAUUACUGACACUGAGACACGAAAGCGUGGGGAGCAAAUAG